This 371-nucleotide ribosomal RNA is filed under the name uncultured organism. RNAcentral's name for it is "partial 16S ribosomal RNA". It matches the Rfam family "Bacterial small subunit ribosomal RNA", at positions 527 to 896 of the family's 1533-position model. The record is from RNAcentral.
GUAGGUGGCAAGCGUUGUCCGGAAUUAUUGGGCGUAAAGCGCGCGCAGGCGGUUCUUUAAGUCUGAUGUGAAAGCCCACGGCUCAACCGUGGAGAGUCAUUGGAAACUGGAGAACUUGAGUACAGAAGAGGAAAGCGGGAUUCCACGUGUAGCGGUGAAAUGCGUAGAGAUGUGGAGGAACACCAGUGGCGAAGGCGGCUUUCUGGUCUGUAACUGACGCUGAGGCGCGAAAGCGUGGGGGAGCAAACAGGAUUAGAUACCCUGGUAGUCCACGCCGUAAACGAUGAGUGCUAAGUGUUAGGGGGUUUCCGCCCCUUAGUGCUGCAGCUAACGCAUUAAGCACUCCGCCUGGGAGUACGGCCGCAAGGCUG